CGGUGACAGGUGGUGCAUGGUUGUCGUCAGGCUCGUGUCGUGAGAUGUUGGGUUAAGUCCCGCAACGAGCGCAACCCCUAUUGUUAGUUGCCAUCAUUCAGUUGGGCACUCUAGCGAGACUGCCGGUAAUAAACCGGAGGAAGGUGGGAUGACGUCAAAUCAUCAUGCCCCUUAUGACCUGGGCUACACACGUGCUACAAUGGCUGGUACAACGAGUUGCGAGUCGGUGACGGCGAGCUAAUCUCUUAAAGCCAAUCUCAGUUCGGAUUGUAGGCUGCAACUCGCCUACAUGAAGUCGGAAUCGCUAGUAAUCGCGGAUCAGCACGCCGCGGUGAAUACGUUCCCGGGCCUU
This 352-nucleotide ribosomal RNA is filed under the name uncultured Streptococcus sp. RNAcentral describes it as "bacterial SSU rRNA". It matches the Rfam family "Bacterial small subunit ribosomal RNA", at positions 1029 to 1382 of the family's 1533-position model. The record is from RNAcentral. Lineage: Bacteria; Bacillati; Bacillota; Bacilli; Lactobacillales; Streptococcaceae.